This 465-nucleotide ribosomal RNA is filed under the name Vreelandella stevensii. Its description in RNAcentral is "partial 16S ribosomal RNA". It matches the Rfam family "Bacterial small subunit ribosomal RNA", at positions 338 to 795 of the family's 1533-position model. Lineage: Bacteria; Pseudomonadati; Pseudomonadota; Gammaproteobacteria; Oceanospirillales; Halomonadaceae. The record is from RNAcentral.
CCUACGGGGGGCAGCAGUGGGGAAUAUUGGACAAUGGGCGAAAGCCUGAUCCAGUCAUGCCGCGUGUGUGAAGAAGGCCUUCGGGUUGUAAAGCACUUUCAGUGGGGAAGAAAGCCUUGGGGCUAAUACCCUCGAGGAAGGACAUCACCCACAGAAGAAGCACCGGCUAACUCCGUGCCAGCAGCCGCGGUAAUACGGAGGGUGCGAGCGUUAAUCGGAAUUACUGGGCGUAAAGCGCGCGUAGGCGGUCUGAUAAGCCGGUUGUGAAAGCCCCGGGCUCAACCUGGGAACGGCAUCCGGAACUGUCAGGCUAGAGUGCAGGAGAGGAAGGUAGAAUUCCCGGUGUAGCGGUGAAAUGCGUAGAGAUCGGGAGGAAUACCAGUGGCGAAGGCGGCCUUCUGGACUGACACUGACGCUGAGGUGCGAAAGCGUGGGUAGCAAACAGGAUUAGAUACCCGUGUAGUC